RNAcentral lists this unclassified non-coding RNA (206 nucleotides) under soil metagenome. RNAcentral describes it as "partial contains 5.8S ribosomal RNA, internal transcribed spacer 2, and large subunit ribosomal RNA". The record is from RNAcentral.
AAGACUAUAGACCUGCGGAGUACCUGCGGAAGGAUCAUUACCGAGUUUACAACUCCCAAACCCCUGUGAACAUACCACUUGUUGCCUCGGCGGAUCACCGCGCCCCGUGAAACGGGCCGGCCCGCCAGAGGACCCAAACUCAAAUGUCUUAUUGUAUCUUCUGAGUAAAGAAACAAAUAAAUCAAAACUUUCAGCAAUGGAUCUCU